CUACUAAUUCAGCACAUUCAGAAAUCUGAGGGGCUGGCGGAUAGCGUAGUAGUUGGGUUUGUGUGUUCCACUUCCUAGCCUUGGUUUGCCGGUUCAGAUCCUGGGCAUGGACCUACACACUGCUCAUCAAGCCACGCUGAGGCUGCAUCCCACAUAGAAGAACUAGAAGGACUUACAACUAGGAUAUACAACUAAGUACUGGGGUUUUGAGAAGGAAAAAAAAAAGAGGAAGAUUGGCAACAUAUGUUAGCUCAGGGCCAAUCUUCAAAAAAAGCAAAGAAAUCUGAUAAGGCAGGUGACAUCUCAGCAAAGCCAGGGAGGAGACUAAAGCACAUCAUCUUACCGUGGGAGGAUAUACAUUUCCCUGCAUCCAGAAACAUCUGAAGUCAACACGGCGGAAGUGAGAACAAUCUAGAUGCUGAUGACUAAGAGCCUGUUAUUCUGUCGUCCCUCCUUUCUUGACUGCUUGAAAUGCCUUAUAAUAAAACACUUGCACGC
RNAcentral lists this long non-coding RNA (498 nucleotides) under Equus caballus (horse). RNAcentral describes it as "lncRNA (ENSECAG00000036145.3)". The record is from RNAcentral. Lineage: Eukaryota; Metazoa; Chordata; Mammalia; Perissodactyla; Equidae.